This 78-nucleotide transfer RNA is filed under the name Paludisphaera borealis. RNAcentral's name for it is "tRNA-Leu". The record is from RNAcentral. Lineage: Bacteria; Pseudomonadati; Planctomycetota; Planctomycetia; Isosphaerales; Isosphaeraceae.
GCCACGUUCAUGGUAGACGCUCCGGUCUCAAAAUCCGGUGGGGUAACACCCGUGUGGGUUCAAGUCCCACCUUCGGUA